This 752-nucleotide ribosomal RNA is filed under the name uncultured Actinomycetes bacterium. RNAcentral describes it as "bacterial SSU rRNA". It matches the Rfam family "Bacterial small subunit ribosomal RNA", at positions 104 to 875 of the family's 1533-position model. Lineage: Bacteria; Bacillati; Actinomycetota; Actinomycetes. The record is from RNAcentral.
GGGUGAGUAACACGUGGGUGAUCUGCCCUGCACUUCGGGAUAACGCUUGGGAAACUGGGUCUAAUACCGGAUAGGACCGCACUUUAGUGUGUGUGGUGGAAAGUUUUUUCGGUGUAGGAUGAGCUCGCGGCCUAUCAGCUUGUUCGGUGGGGUAAUGGCCUACCAAGGCGGCGACGGGUAGCCGGCCUGAGAGGGUGUACGGCCACAUUGGGACUGAGAUACGGCCCAGACUCCUACGGGAGGCAGCAGUGGGGAAUAUUGCACAAUGGGCGCAAGCCUGAUGCAGCGACGCCGCGUGGGGGAUGAAGGCCUUCGGGUUGUAAACUCCUUUCGCUAGGGACGAAGCUUUUUGUGACGGUACCUAGAUAAGAAGCACCGGCUAACUACGUGCCAGCAGCCGCGGUAAUACGUAGGGUGCGAGCGUUGUCCGGAAUUACUGGGCGUAAAGGGCUCGUAGGUGGUUUGUCGCGUCGUCUGUGAAAUUCUGGGGCUUAACUCCGGGCGUGCAGGCGAUACGGGCAUAACUUGAGUGCUGUAGGGGUAACUGGAAUUCCUGGUGUAGCGGUGAAAUGCGCAGAUAUCAGGAGGAACACCGAUGGCGAAGGCAGGUUACUGGGCAGUUACUGACGCUGAGGAGCGAAAGCGUGGGUAGCAAACAGGAUUAGAUACCCUGGUAGUCCACGCUGUAAACGAUGAGUGGUUAGGUUCUUGGAAUAAUCUGGGAGCCGCAGCUACGCAUUACACUCCUCCUG